ACAUACGACCAUACCUACUGGAAAACUCGGGAUCCCGUCCGCUCUCCCAGUGAUAAACCAGUAAGGGCCGAACUAGUAGUUGGGUGGGUGACCACCAGCGAAUCCUCGGUGUUGUAUGUU
Ribosomal RNA from Verticillium longisporum, 120 nucleotides. The record is from Rfam. Lineage: Eukaryota; Fungi; Ascomycota; Sordariomycetes; Glomerellales; Plectosphaerellaceae.